Molecule: ribosomal RNA, 657 nt
Filed under: Salmonella enterica
Lineage: Bacteria; Pseudomonadati; Pseudomonadota; Gammaproteobacteria; Enterobacterales; Enterobacteriaceae
Description: partial 23S ribosomal RNA
Rfam family: Bacterial large subunit ribosomal RNA
Source: RNAcentral
AGACCCGAAACCCGGUGAUCUAGCCAUGGGCAGGUUGAAGGUUGGGUAACACUAACUGGAGGACCGAACCGACUAAUGUUGAAAAAUUAGCGGAUGACCUGUGGCUGGGGGUGAAAGGCCAAUCAAACCGGGAGAUAGCUGGUUCUCCCCGAAAGCUAUUUAGGUAGCGCCUCGUGAAUUCAUCUCCGGGGGUAGAGCACUGUUUCGGCUAGGGGGCCAUCCCGGCUUACCAACCCGAUGCAAACUGCGAAUACCGGAGAAUGUUAUCACGGGAGACACACGGCGGGUGCUAACGUCCGUCGUGAAGAGGGAAACAACCCAGACCGCCAGCUAAGGUCCCAAAGUCAUGGUUAAGUGGGAAACGAUGUGGGAAGGCCCAGACAGCCAGGAUGUUGGCUUAGAAGCAGCCAUCAUUUAAAGAAAGCGUAAUAGCUCACUGGUCGAGUCGGCCUGCGCGGAAGAUGUAACGGGGCUAAACCAUGCACCGAAGCUGCGGCAGCGAACGUAUCACCCAAGACAACUUUACGGAGUUGACGAUUGACGGAGCGAAGCGACGUCAAAGCGUUCAUUAAAGUCAAGUUGGCUUAGGGAUACGUUCGUUGGGUAGGGGAGCGUUCUGUAAGCCUGUGAAGGUGUGUCGUGAGGCAUGCUGGAGGU